RNAcentral lists this ribosomal RNA (225 nucleotides) under uncultured bacterium. RNAcentral describes it as "partial 16S ribosomal RNA". It matches the Rfam family "Bacterial small subunit ribosomal RNA", at positions 28 to 253 of the family's 1533-position model. The record is from RNAcentral.
GACGAACGCUGGCGGCGUGCUUAACACAUGCAAGUCGAGCGGUAAGGCCCUUUCGGGGGUACGACGAGCGGCGAACGGGUGAGUAACACGUGGGUGACCUGCCCUCAGCUCUGGGAUAAGCCCGGGAAACUGGGUCUAAUACCGGAUAUGACUUCAUGACGCAUGUUGUGGAGUGGAAAGCCUUGUGCGGCUGAGGAUGGGCCCGCGGCCUAUCAGCUUGUUGGG